GGAGAGGUAUCGAAGUGGUCAUAACGGGGCUGACUCGAAAUCAGUUUGAGAGCAAUCUCACGAGGGUUCGAAUCCCUCCCUCUCCGCCA
RNAcentral lists this transfer RNA (89 nucleotides) under Clostridiales bacterium. RNAcentral's name for it is "tRNA-Ser". It matches the Rfam family "tRNA". From Rfam's summary of the family: Transfer RNA (tRNA) molecules are approximately 80 nucleotides in length. Their secondary structure includes four short double-helical elements and three loops (D, anti-codon, and T loops). Lineage: Bacteria; Bacillati; Bacillota; Clostridia; Eubacteriales. The record is from RNAcentral. RNAcentral also lists the same sequence under 1 other name.